Pan troglodytes (chimpanzee) is the source of this 4819-nucleotide RNA transcript. It is a transcript of the gene named drosha ribonuclease III, with no coding region annotated. NCBI's taxonomy places the organism in Eukaryota, Metazoa, Chordata, Mammalia, Primates, Hominidae. The transcript is spliced from 34 exons. The record is from RefSeq and is a predicted model, not a curated record.
GCUUUUUAAUUCCCUCGGUUUCCUGUUCCGGAGGCGCGGGCGGUGCCACUGUCUUGGUACCUGCAGUAGUAGCCUGGCUUUGCUCUGACGGCGAUCUCGCGGCCCGAGAGCCUUUUAUAGGUUGCUUUUCCUGGGGAUAUGAAGGAUACAGAAAUGACUGUGAAUCAACCCAUAUCAUCAAGGAGCUGAUAAUCUAGUGGAGGAGUUAGACAUGUGCAUACUUCAUUAUGAUAUGAGGCAGUCUCUGAGCUUAUAUUCUCUGUGGAAGAUGUGACAUAUCCAGGCGGAACAUCAUGAUGCAGGGCAACACAUGUCACAGAAUGUCGUUCCACCCGGGACGAGGGUGUCCCCGAGGACGAGGAGGACAUGGAGCCAGACCCUCAGCACCAUCCUUUAGGCCCCAAAAUCUGAGGCUGCUUCACCCUCAGCAGCCUCCUGUGCAAUAUCAAUAUGAACCUCCAAGUGCCCCUUCCACCACUUUCUCGAACUCUCCAGCCCCCAAUUUUCUCCCUCCACGACCAGACUUUGUACCCUUCCCCCCGCCCAUGCCUCCGUCAGCGCAAGGCCCUCUUCCCCCCUGCCCAAUCAGGCCGCCUUUCCCCAACCACCAGAUGAGGCACCCCUUCCCAGUUCCUCCUUGUUUUCCUCCCAUGCCACCACCAAUGCCUUGUCCUAAUAACCCCCCAGUCCCUGGGGCACCUCCUGGACAAGGCACUUUCCCCUUCAUGAUGCCCCCUCCCUCCAUGCCUCAUCCCCCGCCCCCUCCAGUCAUGCCGCAGCAGGUUAAUUAUCAGUACCCUCCGGGCUAUUCUCACCACAACUUCCCACCUCCCAGUUUUAAUAGUUUCCAGAACAACCCUAGUUCUUUCCUGCCCAGUGCUAAUAACAGCAGUAGUCCUCAUUUCAGACAUCUCCCUCCAUACCCACUCCCAAAGGCUCCCAGUGAGAGAAGGUCCCCAGAAAGGCUGAAACACUAUGAUGACCACAGGCACCGAGAUCACAGUCAUGGGCGAGGUGAGAGGCAUCGGUCCCUGGAUCGGCGGGAGCGAGGCCGCAGUCCCGACAGGAGAAGACAAGACAGCCGGUACAGAUCUGAUUAUGACCGAGGGAGAACACCAUCUCGCCACCGCAGCUACGAACGGAGCAGAGAGCGAGAACGGGAGAGACACAGGCAUCGAGACAACCGAAGAUCACCAUCUCUGGAAAGGUCCUACAAAAAAGAGUAUAAGAGAUCUGGAAGUCGCUCCCCAAGUAGGGAGAAGAAGAGAGCUCGUUGGGAGGAAGAAAAAGACCGAUGGAGUGACAACCAGAGUUCUGGCAAAGACAAGAACUAUACCUCAAUCAAGGAAAAAGAGCCCGAGGAGACCAUGCCUGACAAGAAUGAGGAGGAAGAAGAAGAACUUCUUAAGCCUGUGUGGAUUCGAUGCACUCAUUCAGAAAACUACUACUCCAGUGACCCCAUGGAUCAGGUGGGAGAUUCUACAGUGGUUGGAACGAGUAGGCUUCGUGACUUAUAUGACAAAUUUGAGGAGGAGUUGGGGAGCAGGCAAGAAAAGGCCAAAGCUGCUCGGCCUCCGUGGGAACCUCCAAAGACGAAGCUCGAUGAAGAUUUAGAGAGUUCCAGUGAAUCCGAGUGUGAGUCUGAUGAGGACAGCACCUGUUCUAGCAGCUCAGACUCUGAAGUUUUUGACGUUAUUGCAGAAAUCAAACGCAAAAAGGCCCACCCUGACCGACUUCAUGAUGAACUUUGGUACAACGAUCCAGGCCAGAUGAAUGAUGGACCACUCUGCAAAUGCAGCGCAAAGGCAAGACGCACAGGAAUUAGGCACAGCAUUUAUCCUGGAGAAGAGGCCAUCAAGCCCUGUCGUCCUAUGACCAACAAUGCUGGCAGACUUUUCCACUACCGGAUCACAGUCUCCCCGCCUACGAACUUUUUAACUGACAGGCCAACUGUUAUAGAAUACGAUGAUCACGAGUAUAUCUUUGAAGGAUUUUCUAUGUUUGCACAUGCCCCCCUGACCAAUAUUCCACUGUGUAAAGUAAUUAGAUUCAACAUAGACUACACGAUUCAUUUCAUUGAAGAGAUGAUGCCGGAGAAUUUUUGUGUGAAAGGGCUUGAACUCUUUUCACUGUUCCUAUUCAGAGAUAUUUUGGAAUUAUAUGACUGGAAUCUUAAAGGUCCUUUGUUUGAAGACAGUCCUCCCUGCUGCCCAAGAUUUCAUUUCAUGCCACGUUUUGUAAGAUUUCUUCCAGAUGGAGGAAAGGAAGUGCUGUCCAUGCACCAGAUUCUCCUGUACUUGUUAAGGUGCAGCAAAGCCCUGGUGCCCGAGGAGGAGAUUGCCAAUAUGCUUCAGUGGGAGGAGCUGGAGUGGCAGAAAUAUGCAGAAGAAUGCAAAGGCAUGAUUGUUACCAACCCUGGGACGAAACCAAGCUCUGUCCGUAUCGAUCAACUGGAUCGUGAACAGUUCAACCCCGAUGUGAUUACUUUUCCGAUUAUCGUCCACUUUGGGAUACGCCCUGCACAGUACCAAAAACUGUGGAAGAGUUAUGUGAAACUUCGCCACCUCCUAGCAAAUAGUCCCAAAGUCAAACAAACUGACAAACAGAAGCUGGCACAGAGGGAGGAAGCCCUCCAAAAAAUACGGCAGAAGAAUACAAUGAGACGAGAAGUAACGGUGGAGCUAAGUAGCCAAGGAUUCUGGAAAACUGGCAUCCGUUCUGAUGUCUGUCAGCAUGCAAUGAUGCUACCUGUUCUGACCCAUCAUAUCCGCUACCACCAAUGCCUAAUGCAUUUGGACAAGUUGAUAGGAUAUACUUUCCAAGAUCGUUGUCUGUUGCAGCUGGCCAUGACUCAUCCAAGUCAUCAUUUAAAUUUUGGAAUGAAUCCUGAUCAUGCCAGGAAUUCGUUGUCUAACUGUGGAAUUCGGCAGCCCAAAUACGGAGACAGAAAAGUUCAUCACAUGCACAUGCGGAAGAAAGGGAUUAACACCUUGAUAAAUAUCAUGUCACGCCUUGGCCAAGAUGACCCAACUCCCUCAAGGAUUAACCACAAUGAACGGUUGGAAUUCCUGGGUGAUGCUGUUGUUGAAUUUCUAACCAGCGUCCAUUUGUACUAUUUGUUUCCUAGUCUGGAAGAAGGAGGAUUAGCAACCUAUCGGACUGCCAUUGUUCAGAAUCAGCACCUUGCCAUGCUAGCAAAGAAACUUGAACUGGAUCGAUUUAUGCUGUAUGCUCACGGGCCUGACCUUUGUAGAGAAUCGGACCUUCGACAUGCAAUGGCCAAUUGUUUUGAAGCAUUAAUAGGAGCUGUUUACUUGGAGGGAAGCCUGGAGGAAGCCAAGCAGUUAUUUGGACGCUUGCUCUUUAAUGAUCCGGACCUGCGCGAAGUCUGGCUCAAUUAUCCUCUCCACCCACUCCAACUACAAGAGCCAAAUACUGAUCGACAACUUAUUGAAACUUCUCCGGUUCUACAAAAACUUACUGAGUUUGAAGAAGCAAUUGGAGUAAUUUUUACUCAUGUUCGACUUCUGGCAAGGGCAUUCACAUUGAGAACUGUGGGAUUUAACCAUCUGACCCUAGGCCACAAUCAGAGAAUGGAAUUCCUAGGUGACUCCAUAAUGCAACUGGUAGCCACAGAGUACUUAUUCAUUCAUUUCCCAGAUCAUCAUGAAGGACACUUAACUUUGUUGCGAAGCUCUUUGGUGAAUAACAGAACUCAGGCCAAGGUAGCGGAGGAGCUGGGCAUGCAGGAGUACGCCAUAACCAACGACAAGACCAAGAGGCCCGUGGCGCUUCGCACCAAGACCUUGGCGGACCUUUUGGAAUGGGAUCUCAGGAUUGGUGUUGAAAAUGGCAAGACCCAAGAAUGUGCGUAUUCUGGCAUCAUAUCUAAUCUUCAAGUAAUAUUUUGACUUAUUUGAUGUGAACAGGGUUGGGUGCUCAGAUAGCAUUUUUUCCCUGAUAUACAGCGGCAUUCUGUGUACCUUUUAAGCUAUUCCUUUAGCCCUUAGCUAAAUGCAGUUUGGUGUUUGUACUCUAUGAUUUGCAUCUUACACAUCUCUUGCUGCUUCUGAUAUUAAUGAUAAAAAGUGGGGGAAGAUGAAACGGUAGCACUAAAAAACAAAGAGGGCCUGGAAGUUGAAACUAUUACUAAAAUUUUGCUUAAAAGUCUAGGUCUCUUACUCUUUCUGAUAGAUGGCAGUGAUUGUGGUUUAUUUUAAAGUAUUCUUUUUUCCCCAGCAUUUAUUGCAGCGCUGUACAUUGAUAAGGAUUUGGAAUAUGUUCAUACUUUCAUGAAUGUCUGCUUCUUUCCACGAUUGAAAGAGUUCAUUUUGAAUCAGGAUUGGAAUGACCCCAAAUCCCAGCUUCAGCAGUGUUGCUUGACACUUAGGACAGAAGGAAAAGAGCCAGACAUUCCUCUGUACAAGACUCUGCAGACAGUGGGCCCAUCCCAUGCCCGAACCUACACUGUGGCUGUUUAUUUCAAGGGAGAAAGAAUAGGCUGUGGGAAAGGACCAAGUAUUCAGCAAGCGGAAAUGGGAGCAGCAAUGGAUGCGCUUGAAAAAUAUAAUUUUCCCCAGAUGGCCCAUCAGAAGCGGUUCAUCGAACGGAAGUACAGACAAGAGUUAAAAGAAAUGAGGUGGGAAAGAGAGCAUCAAGAGAGAGAGCCAGAUGAGACUGAAGACAUCAAGAAAUAAAGGAGGGCAUGCAAGUGUGGAGUAUUUACUUGCUCAGUAACUGUGACUGUUGUCUAUUGAGACCUAGCCUGCAGACAAUGAAUGAAGUGUGCUCAUUGAAAUAAAAUACAGAGUCAAAUCGC